UAUAUUAUUUAUUAACGUGUAUAAGUAAUCUCUGAAGAUUCAAAUACGUGCUUUUUAAUUAUUUUCCGAAUAUGUGUAUGCACGUAGAAUCAUACCAUAAUCAUAAUUAUCUUAAUUAUUAAUCUCAACUUUUGAAAUUGCGCACGUUGUGCGUGCAAUUUUUUAAAAUAAAAUAUCAAUUCUCCGAGUAUAUGAAGCUGUCUUCACCGAUCAAAUUGGAUAAGUGCAUUUUAGUCGAAAAAAUGAAGAGUAAAGUGUCGAGUGCCUUUUUAUUUUACGUGGUAUUAAAUGCCAUAAUAUUCAUCGUUAUUAUCGAAAAAAGUGACGCAACAAUAGAAUUAAAGGAAAAAGUAGAAAAUUCUUUAUCCACGUUACAUCAUAAUUUACCUAUUAUUUUACAAUCUUUGCAAAUCCCAUCAAGAUCGUAUAAAAAAGAAGAUAUUUCGGAGGAUCCAAGUUUUCGUAACAAAGAUAAUCCAAAGGUUGAAACUGAGACAAGGGAAAAAGAACUGAGCAUUAAAGAUAACUCAAAAAACUUGCCAAAACGUUAUCUAGAAAAUAGUUUAUCUAAAUGUACUGAAUUUUCCGAAACGCAAAUUAAUUGUUUCCAACCAUCAAAUUCAUCUCUGCUGGAAACGUUGGAAAAUUAUUCUUGCAAAACAGAAGCUUUAAAUUAUGGCCACCAACAUAUAAUUGAAACUAUAAUUCAUGAAUCUUUUUGUGAGCUGAACAAACUUUUUCAUUAUAUCUUAAUCGCAGUAAAGAAUUUAAAAUCUGAAUCUCCAUUGAUCUGGCUAUUGAACUCAGUACAAGAUAUAGUUUCAUACAGUGAGGUUACGCUUAAUGAAAGUUUACCUGAAAUAAUAGAUAUCGAAUUGUCCCAAUUAGAAGAAUUUUUAAGUAGUCCUGAAAAUAUAAAAACCUUAAUUAAUAAUAUAAAAAAAUAUGUCCCUAUUUUAAUUCCUAUUGUAAAAGGCAUAAUUAAAUUAGUUAAUUCUAUUAAAGAGGCUUUCUCUUGUAUACAUACUCUUUUUGAAUUUUUUGAUAUUAAUUAUUUAGAGAAAAUUGAAGAUUUAAAAGAAAUAGGAAAGAGAUUAUUUGAGGUUGGCAAACAAUUAAUAACUUCCCUUUAUAAUUUCGCGUUAUAUCCUCUAGAAGAAAUAAAAAAUUUAUUUUUCAACGCAAUUGUAUGGGCAGAAUCAAUAUUUAAUGAUUUGUUGAAUUGCAUCCGACAAAAAAUAUAUCAGUAUAUAGUAAUUUUAGAAGAAGGUAUUAACAUAUUACAAGCUUUAUUUAAUGGUUAUUAUGCAUCUGGAAUUCCGGAAACGUUAAGCAAAAUAAUUGAUACAUCUGAAUCGCCUGUAAUGAAUGAAGAAAAAACAAAUUUAAAUGUUUCGAUAACAUCGAUUGCCUCUACGCUAAUAUCUUAAUUAUUUUUGAAUAUUUUUGAAUAGGAUAUAAGGAGUUCUAUUAAUGUCUGGAUAAAUGUCACUUUCAUCCAUUGGGAUAAUUUCUAAAAAAUGAUUUUAAUUAUGUCUCGCAAUUCAUUUAUUGAUCUUCGAUAUUUGUUAUCUUUUACAAAAAAUAUAUAAAUAAAUGAUAUAUUGUCAUUAUUCGUACUUUUCACAAAUUUGUAUAACUUUUCAUCCAAUUUUUUUAAUAAAAAAUUCAAUAAUUUUUUCUAA
This 1685-nucleotide unclassified non-coding RNA is filed under the name Apis florea (little honeybee). RNAcentral's name for it is "uncharacterized LOC105736456, transcript variant X1". The record is from RNAcentral. Lineage: Eukaryota; Metazoa; Arthropoda; Insecta; Hymenoptera; Apidae.